Pelobates cultripes (western spadefoot toad) is the source of this 1045-nucleotide non-coding RNA. The record is from the annotation of a GenBank genome assembly. Lineage: Eukaryota; Metazoa; Chordata; Amphibia; Anura; Pelobatidae.
CACAGAAACCCCUUCGUUUGGUCCCAGCGCUCGGGACGCUCCAUUAAUCUGUCUCCUGAUCAGACUGGAGCUUUUCUGGCUUUUUUCAAUGGACGUGGUGCUUUUGCGCGCUCCUCACUGACAGUUAUUCCUGGGCUGAUUGUUCAGUGUUUUCCAUUGUCAGAGUAACCCUGCAGUGCAUCAUCCUCCCUGCAGAGCACCAUGCACCAUCUUCCUACCAGAGACUCGCAGAACAUCAUGCAUCAUCUUCCCUGCAGAGCUGCAUCUCUUCUUCCACAGAGCUGUGGAGCACCAUGUACCCAAGUCUGCAACCAUCACCAUCACACAGCACCCUGCAAACCAUCACUGCUACUGCAUUUAUGCAUCCUGCAAUUGUUCAUUACAUAACCAUCUUUAUUUCACAGCCAUGCCUCAAUGUAACCCCAUUGUCUGAGCAUUUAACCUUAUUAUAUUUUCGUAGGGUUAUUCCGUUAAGCAUGUUUUGGGCGUUUCUUUUACUGCUCAUUUAGGGAGUGACUUGUGAAGCAUUGGGUUUUCUGAUCAAAGUUAGGGAAAAAAAACAAAAUCUUGUGGGUAAGGUGGGGCAACUCAAAAACAUCUGGGUAAAACUUUUUGUUUUAAUUGCUCAAACAGUUGUGUCCCAGUUGAAUUAAAUGGGGACUUUUUAGAAACCUAAAUCAAGGGCAAACCAUAUUUACUCACACUACCAUUGUGUUAUUUAAUGGACUUGACUGGGUCCACGAUUCUAGGUUGCCCAAAUUUGGUGUGUGAUAUCUUCUCGAUAAAAAAAUGCAACAACUCUGAUCCAUUGGUCCCAUCUUCAAACUUAAAAAAAACAAAAACAAUUCCAAGUAUAGAUAGCUUGUAGGUCACUUCCAUAACUUGGUAACAACUUGGUGCUUGGUAUCAUCAUACCUUUUGUACAAGAAAGUUUUCCAGUUACACCACUUAUAUAAAAUUGGAAACCUUUUAUUUGGUCAAUAAUGAAUAGAACCUAAUGUGUUAAUUGUCAGGUAUGUGAGCAAUGCAUUCACAUCUUGCCGAC